Molecule: transfer RNA, 73 nt
Filed under: Camelus bactrianus (Bactrian camel)
Lineage: Eukaryota; Metazoa; Chordata; Mammalia; Artiodactyla; Camelidae
Also listed under: 1 other name
Rfam family: tRNA
About the family: Transfer RNA (tRNA) molecules are approximately 80 nucleotides in length. Their secondary structure includes four short double-helical elements and three loops (D, anti-codon, and T loops).
Source: Rfam by way of RNAcentral
GAGAGUGUAGCUCAAAUGGUAGCGCACAUGCUUAGCAUGCACAAGGUCCUGGGUUCAAUUCCCAGUACCUCCA